Molecule: unclassified non-coding RNA, 328 nt
Filed under: soil metagenome
Description: partial contains 5.8S ribosomal RNA, internal transcribed spacer 2, and large subunit ribosomal RNA
Rfam family: 5.8S ribosomal RNA (bases 1-120)
Source: RNAcentral
GAUGAAGAACGCAGCGAAAUGCGAUAAGUAAUGUGAAUUGCAGAAUUCAGUGAAUCAUCGAAUCUUUGAACGCACAUUGCGCCCCUUGGUAUUCCGAGGGGCAUGCCUGUUCGAGCGUCAUUAUAACCCCUCAAGCUCAGCUUGGUGUUGGGGCCUGCCGCACGGGCAGCCCUUAAAAUCAGUGGCGGUGCCAUCUGGCUCUAAGUGUAGUGAUUCUUCUCGCUAUAGAGUCCCGGUGGAUGCUUGCCAUUAACCCCCAAUUUUCUAUGGUUGACCUCGGAUCAGGCAGGGAUACCCGCUGAACUUAAGCAUAUCAAUAAGCGGAGGA